UACGUAGGGUGCAAGCGUUGUCCGGAAUCAUUGGGCGUAAAGCGCGCGUAGGUGGCUUCGUAAGUCCGUUGUGAAAGUCAAAGGCUCAACCUUUGAAUGCCGAUGGAUACUGCGAAGCUAGAGUACGGAAGAGGCGAGUGGAAUUCCUGGUGUAGCGGUGGAAUGCGCAGAUAUCAGGAGGAACACCGAUGGCGAAGGCAGCUUGCUGGGACGGUACUGACGCUGAGACGCGAAAGCGUGGGGAGCAAACAGG
This 253-nucleotide ribosomal RNA is filed under the name uncultured bacterium. RNAcentral describes it as "partial 16S ribosomal RNA". It matches the Rfam family "Bacterial small subunit ribosomal RNA", at positions 524 to 776 of the family's 1533-position model. The record is from RNAcentral.